AAAUUUGCGAGAGAAAAUGGAUAAAGUACAGGCCUCGUUAUGCUACGGUUGAGCAGAAUAUUAUAAUGGAAAAAAACAGAAAGCGAAGAACCAGGGAAGGGGAGGAACAACACCUCUACAGGCAUGGAUGCGGAACAAGUAGCCGCUUCAGAGGUGGAAGGAUUAAGGCCAACAAAAAAACUUGCACUUGCAACAGGUACACCCAAAACGGCAAAGAGUAAGGCUGCAAAGAGUAAGGCAGGGGUUGAAAAACCCAAUAAAGGAACCUCAACUAGGAGAAGUUAUUCACAAAAGGUUCAGGGGUCCCCACAACACUUACCAAUCGAUACUGAGGGUAAGUUCCUUCCGUAACCCAUUUAAGAUUUAGGUUGC
Papaver somniferum (opium poppy) is the source of this 372-nucleotide long non-coding RNA. RefSeq lists it as uncharacterized. NCBI's taxonomy places the organism in Eukaryota, Viridiplantae, Streptophyta, Magnoliopsida, Ranunculales, Papaveraceae. The transcript is spliced from 3 exons. The record is from RefSeq and is a predicted model, not a curated record.